Non-coding RNA from Xyrichtys novacula (pearly razorfish), 6778 nucleotides. The record is from the annotation of a GenBank genome assembly. NCBI's taxonomy places the organism in Eukaryota, Metazoa, Chordata, Actinopteri, Labriformes, Labridae.
GCUGGGCGUGGUGGCAUGGCAGAGGGAGGUGUCGACAGAAUCAGCUGCCGCAGUGACAUUUUCAUGCUCGCCAGUGGCGUGUAAAGUGCGCUGAAAGCUCGCCGAUUCAAACCUGGUCAGCUUUCAGCGCAGGCGGAGCGCAGCUGGUCUAGUGGUAUUUUGGUAGACCGGCGGCGUAUCGGCAUACGUCACCGAUGCCUCACCGGCAGGUUUCCACAGUGUCAGGCACAUUUCAGUGCAAUAAAUAAUCAUCAGCAACUAUUAAUCUGAGUCAGCACAUACAUUUAGUUCUAUAUAGAUAUAUUCUGAACUUUAUCUGAUCUGAUGAGCAUGUUUGGCACGUGUUUGGACACACAACCUGACCGAAUCAACACAGCUGAAACCGCAUUAAAUUAAAUUAAAUAUCUAGUAAAUAGACACACAUGAUGAAGUCAACAAGAUAUCUAAUUUGUCUCCCUCCUUUUCUUCCUUUCUCUUCCUCUUAUUUUUCGUGCAGCUUGACCUGGACACGUCUCCGUGUCCUCUCUCCGUCCUGCUGCAGCAGCUGAACAGGGGCCUCAUGUAUCAACGCUUGCGGCGCAAGAAAACCUUGCGUACGCCAAAAUCGGCACACACGUCCAGAUUUAUCAUCGCGAAACGAGCGUCGGUUCCAGCGCUAAUCAACGCAAAGUCAGGAGGUGGUGUAGAAAUUGGCGUUGAGCCGAUACUUGCGUUGACUGUGAUUCGCACUUUGGCGACGCUGUGUGGCGGUGUUUGGUGACUCACUAUGUGACAAGCGUGCACCACAUCCCCGUGGCCGAGCAGCACGUCGCCCCACAUGACGAACCAGCAGCAGACGGAGGGAUGCGAGCUGAUCCCUGCCGGGCCGCCGUCCUCGCGCGGGAGAAUCUCAUCGCCACAGUGUGAAUGGGUAAGAAGUGAAUACACAGUUCAAUGAGCCAAAUUAAUUUAUUUUCUCCACCAGACGCUCGAGGACAUUUACGAGCCGGUCCAGCCGCUCGUUGAUCUCCGCGAUCCCCCUGAUGAUUUCUUCCUGCGAUUGCAGGACCCCCUCUGCGAGGACCCUUCCACUGCGCCGCGGCUGGUGGACGCUCCACCGCUUGUCGGCGCGCUGGUGCUGAUGCUGGUGCUGGUGCUGGGGCCGGGGGCCCGAAUGCCGCUGGUCCUGGCUGACGACUCCAAGCCGGUGGACGGGCUGCCGCGGGCCGGGGUUCCGCAAGCCGGCGACACGGCCGACACAUUGAUUUCUGUGACACAAUAAAAAUAUUUGUUCAUUUCAAUUCCUGCUUCUGUGUAUCUGUUCCGUUUACAUCUCUCUCCACGGUAUCAUAGGUAAUGUAAUCCAGUGUUUCGAGGUCAGUUAUGCACAUUUCUGUUGUUUAUUGCAUAAAAAGUUAUCGAAAAAUGAAGUUAAGGGCGAAGUAUAAAUCACGUCUAAAAAUAGACUGAAUCCCGACGUUGAAAUGAAGUAUAAACUUAGACUAGACGUCUAAUAUACGUCUUUUGCUCAGUGGGAUGGCAAAGCAUGUGGACAUUUGUGUGACACGCCACUUACCCUAUAAUAAUAAUCGCCACCACCCGCUGCUCAAACGGUGUGAGGGUCUCCUCCCCCGGACCCCCACCUGUCUGGCCAGUACUCCUCCGGGGGGCAGCUGUACGCCGCUUGACCUCCACCUUGAGGUCCGACCACUUUUUUUUAAUCUUCGCGGGGGUGCGUGUCUCGGAACCCACCGCAUUCACCCUCUCGCAAACUUUCUCCCACUCCAAGCGUUUUUGUUUUGCACUGACGCCACUGGACAGGCUGCCAAACAAAACACGCUGUCGCUCCUCCACCUCCGCCACCAGCACCUCCACCUCGCACGCCGUAAAUGUAGUUUUUCUUGUCAUUUUGUCUGCGUGCGAGGACAGGGAGACCUUAUUUCAAUAAAUCUGCAUAUUUAUAGGAGGGCGUAACGGGGACGGGCCCAGUCACUCCGACAUCUGCGCUCAAUUCCACGCUGAUUGGGAUUUAUCAAGGAAACACACGUGGAUUUCGGCGCCCGCACACAUUGAUACAUACGGAUUUUUUUCAGCGUGACGGACCUUGCGUGCGCUCGUUUCUGGUAUGAGUUCCACGCAAGUGUUGAUACAUGAGGCCCCAGAUGAUUUGUUUCAGUGAUCAGAUGAGUUAUUUACUUUAAGCCUACAUACGAAUAUUAUAAUAUUCAGUUUUGUGAGCCAAAUUUAUUUUAUAUGCCAACAUCUAUGACAGAAAGAGCCAGGCCUCAGAGCGCGAUGCGUCAUUACGUACAGGUGGUUCCGAUUUUAAUGCCAUUUUUGGAGUUUAUGUUGUGAUCUGUGCGCUCAACCCACCUUUGUCACGUGAGGUUUGAAUAUAUGCAACUUUAUGUGAGUGUCUUUAUUUGUGUAAAAGGGUGUUUGUCUUACCAGUGGUUCCAACAUUACACACACCAAAUCCAUCUGUGCUCAUAUGAGAGAGUGUGGAGGACGCCCAAUGCAGCGCUUACAGUGACACUUGUUGAGGGGCUGCCUUCUGUCCCCAUCGUGUGGCAUUACUGUCUUCAGACAUCUCUUGAUCUCUUUGACUACUUCCCGAAAAUAGUAAUACGCCUCGCCUGUGGCGGAUUUAAAGGCAAGGAGAGGAGCUUAUGGGAUUGGUGAAAACAGGUCUCGGCUGUGUUAAAUCCACUCCAUGCCCUAUAUCCUCCUUCGCUACGACUUACACCACUGGGAGGAGCUGAGUUAGGGAGGGGGGAUACUGACGCCGGGCUGCGCCGCUCACCAAAAUACCAAAUUGUGCUUGGGAAUGCCUUGUCGGCGCGGCGGACCUGACUUACACCGCACCUGCGGCACGUCUCCGGCGAGGCACGAAAAUAGAGCCCUAGAUGUUGAAUUGAUAAGUCCAUGCAAUCAUGUCCCUAGACAUCAUCUAUCUCCUUAUCUCCGUGUAAUAAGGACUUUGAAUGUAUGGCAGGGUUAGUAUGAGUUGCUGUAGAAAUGAUCAGAUUUUGCGCUCCUGUCAAAAUAUUUUCAUAAUUGCUUCUUCUCUGACUAGUCAUAUGUUGGGUUGUUAUGUUAAGAAGGAUAACAUUGACCGCAUGCGAGGUGUGAAGGGUCAAAGGAUAUCCUAAAACCAGCAGCAGCCACAGCUCAUAAGCAGGGGACCAUGCCCUGUACAAUCAACGGAAGGGAUUUGGAAUAAUAUGCCACUGGUCUCAUUCGUUCACCAUGUGUUUGUGCUAAAACUGCAGAGGUGACUUCCCCAUUGUCCAAUACAUAUCGAUGGAAGUCAAGGUUAUAGUCUGGAAGCCCCAACACGGGGGCCGAGCACAAAAGAUACUUCAUAUGACGAAAGGCAUGUCUCAUAUCCUCAGUCCAGUUUAAAGUUUCAGGUGCAUCUUGGAGAGUUGAUCUUCUUAACACAGAGUCAAAAAAGGCAUAAUCCGCAAGCCAGGGUCGACAAUUGUUCACCAGUCCCAAAAAGGAUAACAUUUCAGUUUUCAUCCGAGGUCUUUGAAUGUCCAUAAUGGCUGACACCCGUUCCGGAGAUAAAUACCUGCACCCCGCUCGCAGAACAUAGCCCAGAUAGUUGACCGAUUCCUGACAGAAUUGGAGCUUUGCAAGUGAUGCUCGGUGACCUCUUUCAGCAAGAUGUGUCAACAAGGCCACAGAAUCUUGAAUGCAUUCUCCUUCAUUAGUUCCAGGUUUAAGAAUAGGAUUUAUCGGGGUGUUGUUUUGGGAACGUCGAUUAACAAUCACCCCUUGCUCCAAAACAGUUUACUUUACUGGUCUUAUGCCUUUUUCUUUUUCUUUAGAUAGAGGAUACUGUUUAACAAACACUGGGUAUUUCUUAGGAUUAAUUUUGGCCUGAUAUGGUGGCACAUUCAAUAAUCCUACAUGAUUUGCAUGCAAAGCCCAAAGUUUAGAAGGUGCAGCCACUAAGAUCGAAGGCGGUUGCAACAGGAUUUCUUUAUGAUCCACUGGAGAAAUCAAGGGUCUGUCCACCAUUUUCAAAAGUUUGAUAAAGAAAUGCGUAGGUUCCGGUCCAUAAGACCAGAUGAUAUAAUCCUUGUUUUGAUCAAUUUGGUCAAGUGUCCUAUUUAGAUAGUCUUGACAGGAAAUCAAAAGAUGGUCAAUAUCCCCAAAAUCAGUUCGAACAGCACAGAUAAAAAAAUGAAUAACCUGUUUCUUGUUUCUCCAUAAGAGUACAAGACCAUUCGGAGACCAAAAAACGCUGUGGAAAUUCCUCCAUGUCAGUAGGACCAGUUACUUCAUCAGAAAAGGGCAUAUUGACGGAUUUCAAAUGUAUGAUCAACGCCGCACUGGCAGCCUGACAAGAUGCCAAUUUUUUGAUAUUCGUCAAAGUAAACAGGUCAGAGAUAAAAUCACAGUUUGUCAAUACACUGGUGGCAUUAUGUGACACUUCAACAAGAUGGGAGAAUAGUUGAUAUGUCUUGUCUGCUGGAAUAUAAACCUCAAUACCAUCAGGGGAACACGUAAUGACCGCAUUUAAUUUACUUAAUAUAUCACGUCCCAGUAAGGACACCGGUAUUGUAGCACUAACAACAAAGGAAUGUUGCAGUUUGAUGUCAUCCAGAUCAACAGGCAGCGGAACAGACAGGGGCUCUAGUUGUGGGACUCCAGAGAUACCGACAGAUUGAACAGAGAGAUUACUCAAAGGGCAACUGCUUUUUUCUUAAAUAUGAUGUAGUUGCCCCUGUGUCAACUAGGAACUUAAUAGGUUUACCAGAAACUUGCAUACUUAAUUGAGGUGUCUCAGCUUGUUCAUUGGAAACAUGAAAUUGUGGAAUAUUUAUAAUUAUUGUAGAGUAAUCAAGUCUGUUCAUGCCCCACAACUGUCAGUUAUAUCAUUGCUUCCACAAUGAAGAAGAAGCUGUCCCUCUGUCCGGAGGACCCUGGGUUGAGGGAUGACUUCCAGAUAUCAUCCUUUGUGUAUUGGUCUGUGGAGAGAAACCAGAGGUCAUAUGAGGAGGAUAAUAGGGAGGCAUUUGAUUUAUAGGCCCAUAUUGUGAACCUUGGGCCCUUUUUAAGGGUCACUGUUUUACCCAAUGUCCAACUUCACAACAGUACAGGCACCGAUCAUUCAUGUCCAUCAUUCUUCCUCGUCCCCGUCCUCUCCGCCUUGGGGGAAAAUAUUCACCCUUCGGGUUGACUGAAAAGUAUCCGGUAUGUACAGAGAGGGUUCAAAUGGCCCUUGCUCUCUGUAACGUCUAAAAUUUCCUCUGCCCCUGGUUGGUUGUACAUGUUGGAAUGCAUGGACGGAUUCUUUUACGUCGGUACUCAGCUGGACUGCUUGUGUUUUAUUUUUGGAUGCUGCAAAGAGGCCUAUGGCAUCAAGUUCUCUAACUUUCUUCAAAAGUCUACUAGGAUCAUAGGUAUAAAUAUCAGGUGCAACCACUCUAAGGGUGUACAAAGCAUUUUGAUCCAAUCCGUUCAAAAACAUAGAGGCAGAAAAGGGAUCCUCUUCUUCCUUAAUCUGUAAUUUGGCUUGUCUUUUCCAGCAUUGCAAGAAUCUAGAAGCAUAUUCAGCUAUCGGUUCAUUCUGUUUACGUUGACAAUUUAAGACCUGGGUAAUGUCCCGGUCCUGUGCUGCAUUUUUUUUCAAGGAAUUUAGUAAGUUCAGCAAUAUGCUCAGUUUUAUGGUCUCUGCUUAACCAGGGAUACUUUCCUUCAAUGGUCUCCUCCCCUUCUACUGGCCCAUCAUAUCGGUACCGUAAAUUGUCACAUUCUGCAAUUAGAGUAUCUAUCUUGAUGUGAGGCAUUAGUGUGGCAAGAAUGUAUCUAACAUCUCGUCCGGACAGAGAUGUAUGCAUUAAUGCCGUGGUCCACCAAUUCAUAAAUGCUGUAGGAUUGUUCAGCGGUGAGGGAGCAUCUCUAGUAAUCCGAAAGAUAUCAAUGAGAGUCAAUGGUUUAUCCAUUACACGAUUAUCGACAGUAAUGAGUGGUGUCACCAGAUUUACAUCAUCUUUGACAGCGGACGGGGUUCUCAGCUCACUGUCCUUCAUGUCACUCAACUGGUGCUCAAGGAAUUUAGAAAUGGCCUGUGUUUCAGCAUCAGAAAUUCUUGAAAUAAAAGCAUGAAACUGCCUGCUUCUAAUGGGCUUUGUUAAAUCAAGUUGAGUCUUAGGGCUCUAUUUUCGUGCGCGCCGGUGAGGCGGCGGAGGGCGGCGAGCCCCGCGCAGUUGUAUUUUCGUCUGGCGGAGCCCGGCGUAAGGCCAGUUUGGUAUUUUCGUGGACGGAGGCGAGCCGAGAUCCGCCAAGCUGGGCGUGGUGGCGUGGCAGGGGGAGGUGUGGACAGAAUCAGCAGGCGCAGUGACAUUUUCGUGCUCGCCACUGGCGUGUAAAGUGCGCUGAAAGCUUGCCGAUUCAAACCUGGUCAGCUUUCAGCGCAUGGCGGAGCACAGCUGGUCUAGUAGUAUUUUGGUAGACCGGCGGUGUAUCGACAUACGUCACUGAUGCCUCACCGGCAGGUUUCCACAGUGUCAGGCACAUUUCAGUGCAAUAAAUAAUCAUCAACAACUAUUAAUCUGAGUCAGCACAUACAUUUAGAUCUAUAUAGAUAUAUUUUGAUCUAUAUGUGAUCUGAUGAGCGCGUUUGGCACGCGUUUGGACACACAACCUGACCGAAUCAACACAGCUGAAACCGCAUCAAAUUAAAUUAAAUAUCUAGUAAAUAAACACACAUGAUGAAGUUAACAAGAUAUGUAAUUUGUCUCCCUCCUUUUCUUUCUUCCUCUUCCUCUUAUUUCUCGCACAG